AGAACUGUUCUUGGAUUUGAGGAUUUUGGAUUGCUUAGCUGCUGAUCAAAAUGCUGCUUUCUGGAUUCGAUAAUUUUAGGAAAAGUUACAGUUUCACAGGGAAAAGAACUGGCUAUGAACAUAUGGACAGGGUGCUAUUCUUGUUUGUCGGAUUGGAAUUGUGAUUUUCUCUCGUCAGGUGUAGCGAAUCAUGUGGAUGAUGUGUUAGCUUCAUUUAAGAUCUUUCCUGGAAGUUUGGUUGAGCUUUUCUAAUAAUUUGAUGAUCUGGUUCAGUGAUAGUUGUGUUGUUUGAACAUGGCUUUUCUUUCACGCAGCUGUUCUGUUGAUUGUUAAUGCGACAUUAUCUGGAUUAUGAAUGCUCGCUUUUUUGUUGGUGUUUGGAGGAUGAAUUCUACCUUUGCCCAGAUCUGAAGAAACUAAGAACUCUCUGAAUCUUUGCUUUUCCUGAAAAUUUUCCUAUUCUGUACUAUUCUUAUUCCCGGAGAUUUAGGUUUGCUUGUUUUUGCUUGCUUUGCAGUGUAUUUGGGAGAUUGGGGAUUGUAGAUCAGAAGAAUAUUCUGCAAGACAGGAGGACCAUAUAUCUAAUUCCAUAAAAGCAAUCUGAUUCUCUAUACAUUUUAUUUCCUUGAUCAUUUAACUACGUAUUUAUGAAGCAUGCAUUGUGAAUUAAAAUGUAGUUUAUAUUCUAUGCAGCAUUGUAGCCGGGUUGUUGAGCACAAUGCAUACAGUGGAUGGAAUCUAGUUUCCUAAAACAGUUUUUCCAAACUCCUUUCCUUUUUGUUCAUUCCAACCUAUUGUGCUAGCAGCAUUUGAAAUAAAUGUCUUUGGUUUCCCGUGCAGUGUUUGUCCGAUCAUGGGUGUUGAGUGCAUCCUGGUGAAAUGCUUUUGCACUUGCCUGGUUCAUUUGUUUGAUUUUUGUGUUUUUUUUUUUGUUUUUAAUUUUAAAUUUGCUACUUUGUGUUGUUUCCUUCGUUACUCUCUCCUGCUUGGAAAUCGGUUUUUGUUUCUCUAUUCAUUAGGAACCAAUUGAAGGGUAUGGGAUUGCACCGAGACUGUAUUCAAGAUUCCGAGAUUGAUAUGUCCUUGUUGUAUUCUUCUUUUUUCUUUCUGCCCCCUAAAUAUUAUAAAAAUAACUUUAUAUAGUCAUUUCACGUUGUUUAUGACCUCCAAUGCUUUUCAUUGGUUGCAGCGAUUUAAAAUUUUGGAUUAGAAGAUAUGAUUUGGAAAAGAAGCUCUGCAACAAUAAUACAGGCUCAGGAUCUUGGAUUAAACUUGUCUUGUCUAUUGAAUUUUUCUGCCAUAUUUAUUUUCUAGCAUUAAUGGUUCAUUCCAAGUUCAAUUUGAACCUGUUUUCUUGCAGUGUUAUGUUCGUUGAGUUGGUUGAGUAACAUUGUCCGUGUAAUCGUUAGAUGUGGAGUUGGUGACUUCUACCUGGAGUUUGAAUGCCCUAGAUCUUUUCUUUUUCUCUCUCCUAUUUUCUUUCCAUGUAUUUAGUAUGAACAUGACAAUUCCCUGUUCCUUUGCAGUGUUGUCUUCAGUCGAUACUUUUGACUACCAUAUUCAUAUGGUGACUUCUAACUCGGUUUAGCAGUUUGUGUUUUGUUCUUCAUGAUUUUGACUGUUAGCUUUGAGAACAAUGAUAGGCCCAACCUGUUGUUCCCUCAUCCUAGUUGUGGACACUCAAGAUAGGAGACUAUCUCCGAGCAGGAUCACAUGGUGCAUCAGUUGUGGGGGGUUAUUAGUUCUCAGUCUCACUAAUAAGGAUAAGAGGAUUUGAUUUUAGUUCAACUUUUUUGGUGGUGUUUUCUCUCUGGAUGAGGUAUUGGAAUUGAAUCAUGAACAUGCUUUUGUGCAGUUAAACCACCGAGUGUAUUGGAGAUUAACUUCGGGGAUUGAGGAGCAGGAUUUUGUCUGCACAAUUUUCCCAACUUAACUUUGCAUUUGUUCUCACCUUAUGUUUUGGUUUGAUCUGGGCUUCCGUCAGUUUGACAAGUUGUUUCUUUUGUUUAUUUUCAGCUUUCUGCAUACGUGUUUGCCAUAAUUUGGCACAUUACCCUAAUUGGAGAAUAUUGCUUGAACGCUGUGAGGGGUCUGAAUUAUGUUAAAACUUUUGGAUUGUUGUGCUGGCCUUAAAACUGUUCUUGCAUGGAAAUUGCAACUAUGAUUUUGUUUUGUGCGCGCAUAACUAGAAACUUCUUUUCGGUUCAUCUCUGUCACUCUUCAUGUUGAGUAGUGUUUGGCAGCAUCUGGGAUUUGUAAGUCGACUUUGAAAUAUUGAAGGACCUCUUCUUGGAUGGUUUAACUAGGAUUUUGUACUUAAAUGAGCAACUUCUGAAUGGUUUUCAAAUGUUCAUCGUAUAGUUUUUGAAGCUUCAUGUUUGGAUUUUCAACUUAAUAUUGUCUUUUGUUCUACGUUUGGCUCUUCUAUAUUCCACAGGAUCAGGGAUUUGUAUUAGGACUUGAGUAUUGAAGGACCUAAGCAUAACUGGUGGCUGGUUUUUUCUGGAUCUUCACUAUAAUCUCUUCCCUUUUUCCUACGGUUCAGUGUCUUAUGUUUGUCAGGAGCUGGGAUUUGCAAUUGGACUUUCCACGGUUUUUUAAACCUUCAACCUAAACAUCACUUUGGAGUACUGGAAGAUUUAAGUAUAAUUGGGACAGGU
Arachis ipaensis is the source of this 2660-nucleotide non-coding RNA. Lineage: Eukaryota; Viridiplantae; Streptophyta; Magnoliopsida; Fabales; Fabaceae. The record is from RefSeq and is a predicted model, not a curated record.